RNAcentral lists this ribosomal RNA (206 nucleotides) under uncultured bacterium. RNAcentral's name for it is "partial 16S ribosomal RNA". It matches the Rfam family "Bacterial small subunit ribosomal RNA", at positions 568 to 774 of the family's 1533-position model. The record is from RNAcentral.
CACGUAGGCGGCUUUUUAAGUCGGAGGUGAAAUCCUGGAGCUCAACUCCAGGACUGCCUUCGAUACUGAGGAGCUCGAGUCCGGGAGAGGUGAGUGGAACUGCGAGUGUAGAGGUGAAAUUCGUAGAUAUUCGCAAGAACACCAGUGGCGAAGGCGGCUCACUGGCCCGGUACUGACGCUGAGGUGCGAAAGCGUGGGAGCAAACA